This 245-nucleotide ribosomal RNA is filed under the name uncultured bacterium. RNAcentral describes it as "partial 16S ribosomal RNA". It matches the Rfam family "Bacterial small subunit ribosomal RNA", at positions 524 to 768 of the family's 1533-position model. The record is from RNAcentral.
UACGUAGGGUGCGAGCGUUAAUCGGAAUUACUGGGCGUAAAGCGUGCGCAGGCGGUUCGUUAAGACAGAUGUGAAAUCCCCGGGCUCAACCUGGGAACUGCGUUUGUGACUGGCGGGCUGGAGUGUGGCAGAGGGGGGUAGAAUUCCACGUGUAGCAGUGAAAUGCGUAGAGAUGUGGAGGAAUACCGAUGGCGAAGGCAGCCCCCUGGGUUGACACUGACGCUCAUGCACGAAAGCGUGGGGAG